ACUUCCUGGUAUUUGAAGAUGCGGUUGACCAUGGUGUGUACGCUUUAUUUAUAACGUAGGACACAUGGUCUACUUCUUCUCAAUAUCA
MicroRNA precursor from Cercocebus atys (sooty mangabey), 88 nucleotides. The record is from Ensembl. NCBI's taxonomy places the organism in Eukaryota, Metazoa, Chordata, Mammalia, Primates, Cercopithecidae.